Molecule: ribosomal RNA, 316 nt
Filed under: uncultured bacterium
Lineage: Bacteria
Description: bacterial SSU rRNA
Rfam family: Bacterial small subunit ribosomal RNA
Source: RNAcentral
GAUAAACGCUGGCGGCGCACAUAAGACAUGCAAGUCGAACGAACUUAACCUAUUCUUAACGAUUAGGAGCGGUUAGUGGCGGACUGGUGAGUAAUGUAUAAGUAACCUGCCUAUCAGAGGGGAACAACAGUUGGAAACGACUGCUAAUACCGCAUAUGCCAUAAGAAUCACAUGGUUCUAGUGGGAAAGGAGCAAUCCGCUGAUAGAUGGACUUAUAUCUGAUUAGCUAGUUGGUGUGGUAACGGCAUACCAAGGCGACGAUCAGUAGCCGGACUGAGAGGUUAAACGGCCACAUUGGGACUGAGAUACGGCCCAG